Molecule: non-coding RNA, 297 nt
Organism: Paramuricea clavata
Lineage: Eukaryota; Metazoa; Cnidaria; Anthozoa; Malacalcyonacea; Plexauridae
Source: the annotation of a GenBank genome assembly
GGAAAUUGUAGUCAGUUUUAAAAAUUUUUACGCAAUUAUUUUCGGACACGUUCGAAAACAAAUAAAUGAACCAAGACUGCAUGUCGUAAUCUCUCUGAAAGGGCGAAGCAGUAACUAAAGGGUGUAUAUAUAUAUAUAGGCAUCUAACGGAAGUGAUUUAACGAUCACACGGACGGGUUAUUAGAGACCUUACGAUUUUAGGACGGCAACGCGACGACGACGGCCAAAACAAACUCCCUCAAAUAAAUGGUAGUAUUAAGCCCACUAUUUGUUGUAUAUUAGUUUCUCAUCCGGAGC